RNAcentral lists this ribosomal RNA (433 nucleotides) under uncultured bacterium. RNAcentral describes it as "partial 16S ribosomal RNA". It matches the Rfam family "Bacterial small subunit ribosomal RNA", at positions 29 to 507 of the family's 1533-position model. The record is from RNAcentral.
AACGAACGCUGGCGGCAUGCCUAACACAUGCAAGUCGAACGAGACCUUCGGGUCUAGUGGCGCACGGGUGCGUAACGCGUGGGAACCUGCCCUUAGGUUCGGAAUGACUCCCCGAAAGGGGUGCUAAUACCGGAUAAUGUCUUCGGACCAAAGAUUUAUCGCCUUUGGAUGGGCCCGCGUUGGAUUAGCUAGUUGGUAGGGUAAAAGCCUACCAAGGCGACGAUCCAUAGCUGGUCUGAGAGGAUGAUCAGCCACACUGGGACUGAGACACGGCCCAGACUCCUACGGGAAGCAGCAGUGGGGAAUAUUGGACAAUGGGCGAAAGCCUGAUCCAGCAAUGCCGCGUGAGUGAUGAAGGCCUUAGGGUUGUAAAGCUCUUUUACCCGGGAUGAUAAUGACAGUACCGGGAGAAUAAGCUCCGGCUAACUCCGUG